This 1593-nucleotide long non-coding RNA is filed under the name Monodelphis domestica (gray short-tailed opossum). RNAcentral describes it as "lncRNA (ENSMODG00000041961.1)". The record is from RNAcentral. Lineage: Eukaryota; Metazoa; Chordata; Mammalia; Didelphimorphia; Didelphidae.
AUGGCAGUUGCAAGUGUGACAAUUCUGUGGCUCUGGAGUUUAAGAGAACUUGAAACAUCAUCCAGGAUGAUCAUGAACUUUGGAAAUUAUUUGAUGAGGCUACUGCUGCCUAGAAGAAGUUCAUGUGACUUAACCAAGGCCAUACAAGUGGUGGGACUGAGAUUUGAAACCGAAGUCCUGGGUUAUAUAGAAGAAAGAGAACAAACAUGCUCCUUUCACAUGAUCACCAUCUUGGUUCAAGCCCUCAUCACUCCUUGACUGGACUGUUGCUGUGUUCUCCCAUUGGUCUUCUUUCCUGCAGAUUUUCACCACCAAGUUAACAUUACUAAAGCACUGUUCUCUCCAUGUUACUCCCCUGAUAAAAACUUCACUAGUUCCUGAUUGAAGUUUGUCCAAACAUCCUAGAAGAGAGUUUGGAAUUAUGCUAAGAAAGUGACUAAGAUAUGCAUUCCUUUGAUCUAGCAGUGCAACAGACUAGGCUAGAGGGUGAGGUGGGGUGGAGGGAGAGUGAGUGUGUAAGCUCUCCCUCCUUCUCCUCAUCUUUUCCCUCACCUCUCCUUCCCCUCCAUUCUCUUUAUCCUUCUCAUCCCAAACCUGAAGACAGUGUGGUUAUUCAUUGAUUGAGGAAUGGCUAAACAAAUUAUGGUAUAUAAAUGUAAUAGACCACUACUGUCCUAUAAGUUGACUAAAAUUGGAGGGUGGAGACAAGAUGACAGUGUAGCAAAAGUGCAGUGGAACUUUCACCCACAGCUCUUCUACACAAAUGUAUCAGAAUGAGGACUGAUUGGAAAUCCAAGGAAGUCAUUCUUCCGAUCCAGGACAGCAAAGGGAAACAGAAAUGUCUCUGGGACACUGGGAACCAGAUCUAGCCAGUAAUUCCUACAUGGAACAUUCCAGCCCAGGGAGAGCUCCGUACCAGGAUCCCAGAUCCAAUAUAGAGAGACCUGACAUGCCUGUUGUAGGAUCAUUGCCCAGUUCUGGUCACAGAUCAGGGAUUAAAUGAGGGAGGGGUCCUAUGCCAAGGGGUAAUCUUCUAGGUUGUACAUGAUCUUGGCUGUGAACUGAACUAUAAAGAAGUUCAGAAGCAAACCGCACCUAGAUGAAUGGGUCUCCAGGAGUGGAGAGGGAUCUUGGUUCUAGUUCCCAGGCCAGUCUGAAGCCUGCUUUAAAAUAACCAGGGCAGGAAUCCUGGACUGAAAGAGAAUAUACAAUUCUUUCAUUCUGAUCUAGCAGAGUUUUCCAGGUGUCUGAAAGUAGCAGUCUAUUGUCACUCCAACCAAAGUAUGUUGUUCAGAUCCAAAUCCAAGUCUGGAAUUUGCAGAGCUCAGAUCAGGGAAGGAACAAAGUUAGACUUUGUCCUAGGUCAGGUCACUUUGGGAGCAUUAGAAGCUUGAUAAUCUCUAGGCUACACCUCAGAUUGGUCCAAGUUCAAGGAGAAUUCCUGGAAGAGAUAAAGCAAGGGUUUUAAAAAAUUAUUGGGUUUAAAUUUUAAAAAUAUUAUUGUAAAUUAAAUGAGAGUGCUAGAAGAAAAAAAUUAGGAAAGAAAGGAAAACUUGAAGAAAGAAUUGGAAAUAAAAUUAGCAGCUUGGCACA